AGUAAAGUGACUGAAUAAAGGUGAUAAAUUGUAAAUUUAUUUAUGGAGACAAUCCCUUUACUA
Molecule: transfer RNA, 63 nt
Filed under: Lamprigera yunnana
Lineage: Eukaryota; Metazoa; Arthropoda; Insecta; Coleoptera; Lampyridae
Description: tRNA-Tyr
Source: RNAcentral